UACGAAGGGGGCGAGCGUUGUUCGGAAUUACUGGGCGUAAAGGGCGCGCAGGCGGCCUUAGAAGUCAGAUGUGAAAGCCCCGGGCUCAACCUGGGAAUGGCAUUUGAUACUCUGAGGCUGGAGUACGGGAGAGGAGAGUGGAAUUCCCAGUGUAGAGGUGAAAUUCGUAGAUAUUGGGAAGAACACCGGUGGCGAAGGCGGCUCACUGGCCCGAUACUGACGCUGAGGUGCGAAAGCGUGGGGAGCAAACAGG
Molecule: ribosomal RNA, 253 nt
Filed under: uncultured bacterium
Lineage: Bacteria
Description: partial 16S ribosomal RNA
Rfam family: Bacterial small subunit ribosomal RNA
Source: RNAcentral